GACGAACGCUGGCGGCGUGGAUUAGGCAUGCAAGUCGAACGGUAUCAUCCUUUCGGGGGUGAGAGAGUGGCGAACUGGUGAGUAACACGUAGGUUAUCUACCCUCAAGACGGGGACAACCCAGGGAAACUUGGGCUAAUACCGGAUGUGAGCAACUUUUAGUUGUUUGAAAGGUGGCGUAAAGCUGUCGCUUGGGGAUGAGCCUGCGUCCUAUUAGUUAGUUGGUGAGGUAACGGCUCACCUAGGCAAUGAUAGGUAGGCGGCCUUAACGGGUGGUCGCCCACACUGGGAUUGAGAUACGGCCCAGACUCCUACGGGAGCAGCAGUCGAGAAUAGUCUACAAUGGUCGGAAGACUGAUAGUGCGACGCCGCGUGAACGAUGAAUCCCUUCGGGGUGUAAAGUUCUUUUAUAUGUGAGCAGUGCUUCUUAUAUUAACAGUAUGGGAGAGAGAUAUUAGCAUAUGAAAUAAGACAACGGCUAACUCCGUGCCAGCAGCCGACGGUAAAAAUACCG
RNAcentral lists this ribosomal RNA (513 nucleotides) under uncultured bacterium. Its description in RNAcentral is "bacterial SSU rRNA". It matches the Rfam family "Bacterial small subunit ribosomal RNA", at positions 28 to 527 of the family's 1533-position model. The record is from RNAcentral.